UACGGGGGGGGCAAGCGUUGUUCGGAAUUACUGGGCGUAAAGGGCUCGUAGGCGGCCAACUAAGUCAGACGUGAAAUCCCUCGGCUUAACCGGGGAACUGCGUCUGAUACUGGAUGGCUUGAGUUCGGGAGAGGGAUGCAGAAUUCCAGGUGUAGCGGUGAAAUGCGUAGAUAUCUGGAGGAAUACCGGUGGCGAAGGCGGCAUCCUGGACCGGCAUUGACGCUGAGGAGCGAAAGCUAGGGGAGCAAACGGG
Molecule: ribosomal RNA, 253 nt
Filed under: uncultured bacterium
Lineage: Bacteria
Description: partial 16S ribosomal RNA
Rfam family: Bacterial small subunit ribosomal RNA
Source: RNAcentral